Anastrepha ludens (Mexican fruit fly) is the source of this 203-nucleotide long non-coding RNA. RefSeq lists it as uncharacterized. NCBI's taxonomy places the organism in Eukaryota, Metazoa, Arthropoda, Insecta, Diptera, Tephritidae. The record is from RefSeq and is a predicted model, not a curated record. The transcript has 2 exons.
UGGAAAAGUGCAUCAGUGAAAACAAACCAGCUUGAAGCUGUGGGCGUGUGAGGCUUCUGUAAUUUAGUAUAAAAUGGGAGGAAGUGCCUUUCGUUCCUGGUCCAACGUUUCGCCUAUUUAUUUUUUACUUUGUACCUGCUUGAAGCAAAUAAAUAUGAUCUCCCUUAUUUUCAAUAAAUACAAUAUAUAAAACAAAAGAAAAA